UCAUAUAUAUGUAUCAUAUCACUAAUACUCCCCCAUAUCGUAUCAUAUAUAUCAUAUGAUAUAUAUAUGUAUCAUAUCACUAAUACUUCCCCCUCAAGUCUGAUGAUGUGAACAAGUCAGCUUGUCCUUGAGAUCUUUGAAGAGUUUGGGCUUCAAUGCUUUAGUGGGAAUAUCUGCUUGUUGUAGAACAUUCGGUAUGUGUUGCAGAACAAGAGUUUUGUCCUCCAUUCUUUCUUGAACAAAUCUGAAAUCCAUGGCUGCAUGUUUGAUUUUGUAGUGAUAAACCGGAUUGGCAGCCAAAUGAGUUGCUCCUAAGUGCACAAACAAUGAAGGAUCAGAUUGGCUUGGUAAUUGGUAUAAAACCCAUUAAAUUCAGCACCAUUUUUAGUCUGCGAAACCACAUCCUUGAAGAUUGUUUGAGACCAUAGAUAGCUUUCUUCAAUAGGCAGACGUGAUUUGGACAUUAUUCAUCCAUAAAGCCUCUAGGUUGAUACAUUAAAAUCCUCUCUUCCAAUUGACCAUGUAAAAAUGCAUUACUUAUGUCAAUUUGAUUAAGUUUCCAACGUCUUGAGACUGCAAUAGUUAAUACUCAAAUAGAUAGAAAUUUUACAACUGGACUGAAUGUCUCAUUGUAAUCUCUGCCUUCAAUCUGAUCACUCCCAUUUGCCACUAGCCUUGCCUUCAAUCUGUCCACACUGCCAUCUGAUUUUUCUUUGACUUUAAACAGCCAUAUAGAAUUAAUCACAUUGUCUGUUGGCAUCCUUGGUACCAACUCCCAUGUGUCAUUAUUAACGAGCGCAUCAUAUUCUUUCUUCAUAGCUGAUUUCCAUCCUUCAUUCUCCAAAGCUUGCUUGACUGAAGAUGAAACUGAAAUUUCAAAAGCUAAUAUAGACAGUGCAUACCUAGGAUUAGGCUUCUUAAUCCCUGCAGCUCCUCUAGUGAAGGGGCGGGCACCUCUCAUAAUCAGUUAAUUUUACUGAUUUUGAAAUUAAGAACUCAUCUCUAGAGCUUGAAUCUAAAGAAAUUAGUGAUAUGAUACAUAUAAUUAGCCAUCUUUGGAUCAAAUCCAGCAGCUCAUGUCCUCGCAAGAUGACAACGAAUUGCGUGCGCCAAGCGAAGUAGUUUGAGCGGUCUAGCGUCACAGUCUUCAGAUGCUUGAUGAAAACUAUCUUAGAAGCAUCUGAAUUUUCGACUCUACUCCUAUCAACAAUGCCGUCCUCCAUUGCAGCGGAAUUCAAGAAAAUGAAGGAUUGUUGAGGAGAAAAUCCAGGAUCGAGGAAACUCUCUCUCUAACAAACUGAUACCAUAUAAGAGAUGUAAAUAAGUAGGAGAGAUACGUGAUCCCUUUUCAUUCCCAAUGAGUAUCAUAUAUAUACAACUUAAUACUACAAUAUCAUAUCACUAAUUAGUAUCGUAUCGUAUCAUAUCAUAUAUAUGAUAUGAUAUCAAGUAUCAUAUCACUAAUACUCCUCCAUAUCAUAUCAUAUAUAUCAAAUCAUAUAUAUGUGUAUCAUAUCACUAAUACUCCGCCACAAGCUUCGUUCCACUAAACAUACUUCAUUGAUGACCAUGUCCGAGUAUUUGAUGAUGUUAAAAACUGAUGUUGAUCUUGCCUCCGCUGGCACUAUCAUCCCCGAUGGGGCGAUGACGAUCUAGUGAACUAUGUCCUUGAUGGGUGCAGCCAAGCUACCGAUCAUUCCUUACAGCACUCUCGAUGUGUCCUUCACCAACAACGUUUGAUGAGCUCCAUGUCAUGCUUCUUACGGAAGAAGAUUUACUCCAACGAACUGAAUCUACAUCACGACCAAAGGCCUUGUAUACUUCAAAGGAUAAAAAUCUCAACAAAAGUAAGAGAUCUUGCUGUUGAGGGAAUGAAACAGAGUAAUUGCUAGACAACAAGUUGGAUGAACUGUGAUUUUAUAAGGCUCAUGGCCAAGAUAUAAAUACACAAAUCUAGUCACCUUUGUAACAGAGCACUACUUUCUAUAAUCUAGCAUGUUAGAUCUAAAUCUCAGAAGUUUCUAGAUUUAAUUAUUUAAUUACACAUUAUUAACUAAUUACACAAAUACCCUUAUAAUAUCACUAAUAAAUUCAUACAAGUAAAAUCUAAUCCAAGUACAAUUACAUCAAUCUGAAAUCUGAAAGUGAGAUAAGAGUUUUUAAAUUAUGUUAGAAUAGAGGGGUAAAAUAGGAAAAAAAGUAUAUUAGGUGAAAAUAUUAUUAAAUAAUAGGUGUAAUUGGGUGAUCGAGUGGUUCUUUACCCGAACCCACUCGAUCACCCGCUCUGGAAAAAUCGCUCCUCCAAGAGAGCUUUAGCGCGCUUAAAGCGGUACUUUUAAAACUAUGAAUAAAACUAGGUUUAUUAAAUUCCACGAAUAAAAAUAAAGACGCGAUGCGGAACAUGGUCAGAUGCUUUUUGUCCCCAAUUGUCACGAUCCGAUUACCUCCAAUUAAGAUUAAGUACUCAAGUAGUCGUACUUACAAAUCAGAAAAAUAAUAUACACAUAUGACUACAUGAGUCAUAUGACUCAGUACAGAAAGCCAUAGCUAUUCCUCCACUAAUAUGACUGAGAAAAUCUGUGAAUAAUAAUAAAAUAAUUCCCGGACCCUUAUCGAGAUCCGCCUUAUAGCUCUAUCGAAUUGUAACAACACAAACUUGAUUCCUUUGAACCCGAACUUGAUCCCGUCGGAUCCGAACUGGUACAUCGAGCCCGGAAUAAUCCCUUAGGAUUCGAAUGUGUAACAACACAUCCAAAAUAAGGUAUAAACAAAUCAGAUUUUUUAAUCAUGCAUAAUCAGAUUUAUUUAUGGUUAAUCAGAUUUAGUGCUAUUAAAAAUGCAGUGGCAGAUUAUAAAUAAAGUAGGCAAAAAUCAGAUUUUUAGCAUGCAUAAUCAGGUUCAUUUAAGCUUAAUCAGAUUUAAUGAUACUUAAACAUGCAGUAACAUAUUUCAAAUAAAGUAGGAAAAAAUAUCAGAAUUUAACAUGCAUAAUCAGAUUCACGUAUGCAGGUAUGCAUAAUCAGAUUUAAUUGUUCUAAAUAUGCAGCAAUUGAUUUUAUAUAAAGUAUGCCCCGAAAAUCAGAUUUCUAAACAUGCGUGAGCAGAUUCAAUAGGCAUAGUAUGACACUAUAACUUGUUUAUAAAAUGAAAUUUCAUUCAGGUCAUGAAAUGAAAAAUAUAGUUGCAUAAGCCCCCGCCCAUCAUGUGAGUAGGGUAGUGGUAUGGAUAUAAAAUUUAAGAGUAAAUAUAUAGAACUUAGACUAUUUCGUAAUCACCCCUUGUGCGAGAAGAAUGCCCAAAACAGUUAGAGAAUGACACCCAAACUCAAACUACGAAGCAUAACAUCCACUAGCACAAUGAAUCAGAUAAAACAUGAAGCAACGAAUAAAAAAUAUUUCUAUUAACACAGAUCGAUUUGCCCAAAUCGUUGGGAAAAAAUACCUCAAAACUCACAACGAAUCACAUAGAACACCCCUCACGGUGUUAAGAAUGUUACACAAGCACUUUGUAAUCCCGAAUGGGUUAAGGCUAUGAAUGAUGAUAUCAAUGCACUUCGAGAGAAUGAAACUUGGGAAUUAGUAGCAUCGGUGACCGACUGAACAUAGUAGGGUGUCGUUGGGUUUAUCGUAUCAAACAAAAAGCCGAUGGGUCUCUAGACAGAUACGCGUCUUGUAGCAAUGUAGCCAAAGGUUCCCAUCAACGUGAAUGGUUGGACUUCGAUCUCACAUAUAGUCCGGUUCAGAAAAACGCAUGUUGUGGUAAUGUACUAAUGUCAAAGGCACCAUAAAUUUGGAACCAAAUUUCCAACCGUCAACGAGCACGACAUUGACGGCUUGACGCUAUUUUUUGAUUCUGACUGGGUCGGCGAUCACGACAAUCGCUGGUCCAAUACUGGCUCCUGUCUGUAUUUAAGCACAAAUCUUGUUUCAUGGCUUUCAAAGAAACAGGCAACGGUUUCUCACUCAAGCACCCAACCCGAGUACCGUACUAUAGCUUACUCAACAGAAGAACAGAGUUGUUAUUAUUCUCUUCUUCACGAAUUGGGUAUCCUUGUUCCACGAGCACCUCGAAUUCUUACAGAUAGUAGAUCGGCGAUAUUUACAGUAUUAAACACAGUUGUUCAACCAAGGACAAUGCAUAUUGGCAUCGACUAACAUUAUACAAGGGAAUUUUUAGCAGCCUGUGAUCUCACAGUUUCUUAUUCUGUCGAGUAUUUAAACAGCAGAUGUCUUCACAAAAGCCUUAUGAACACAAGCCUUUGGAAUAAUGAUAAUUAGAAAUAACUAAUUUAUUGUAAUUACAUAUGUGGUCAUCACAAUAGUGGACAACCACGACUGUAUUUCAGUGAAUUGUUAUUCCUAAAGUUUAUAAAGGAAUAACACCCUCCCUCCUUUUGGAUCGAUCGAUUCUAUUUGAUUCCUCCAUUCCCUGGUGCAUUAAUAUAAGGAACAUGAUAUGAAGUAAAUUUAUUACCGGCUUAGCCUGGUUGAUUUUUCUAAUCAUAUACACUUAGAUUGGUAAUGGCACAAAUAUCAUAUGAAAAGAAGCAUUUUUACUGUAAUUUUCAUCUAAUGGUGAAGAUGUUAGAAAAGGGUAAAGGAAAUACCUGCUUUAACUUUCCGGUGGAUUCAAUCAUACGACCUUGGAGCUCUACAUACGCCUGAAAAUUAAAUUAAAAAAUAGGACAUCGAAUGAUACCCAAAAACAAAUGAAAGGAAGGAGAAAAGAUGAAAUAGUACUGUUCUGGUGCCUUCGUCCGCCAUUUUGAAAGAGUUUGGGAAGAGGAAAACAAACCCUAAUUUCAAACACCCCCAACACUAUGACAGUACAAAAAUAGGUAAAUUCUGGGUCUUUGCACUUUUAGAGUUUUAGAAGAGGAGAAGACGAAAGACGAUCUCAAUUUUCAAUUUCUCAGUUCUCACCCCGAAAGACGGGUUAUUUAAAUAUCUGCCCUUGUUUUUUUAUUACCACUUUAAUAAAAUAUUUAUAAUGACUCCUCUAUAAUUAUGUCAUUAUGUGUAGCCAGCCGGAACAAUUCUGGUUCAGACUCACCCAGUUACCAAAAUCAGGUCUGGGCCCAGUAAUAUAGAAUGCACUUAACGGCCAUGUGUACGCAUCCAUCAAUGCACACAUAUCGCCGUCGACGUACCCACUUACUCAUCUUUUCAAUUCGCUCUUUACUUUCAUGCAUAGUAGGAAUGUUAGAUUUCUCUUUGACGUUUUAAGUAUGGUAACAAAAAUCGUUUAAGUUUUAAUUAAGUUCUUAACCUUAAGCUUUCAAGCAUGGUAUCAGAGCAGAGCGGGUAUAGAUCUCGUUCUUAAACAACAACCAAAACCAAAUUUUUAAAAUGGAGAACCUAAAGAUGGCGUUAUUGGAAUAUUGGUUAGUUAUAUUAAUAUUCUUUAUAUUAACUUUAAUUAUAUUUUCUUAUCCUUAAGUAACAAACUUCACUCACUUUGUUAGGAGUUUGUAAUUCAAUCAAGUGUAUAAAUACACAAGGCAAUACAAUCUAUCGUUUUGUUUGCCCUAAAUCAUAUCAUCUUGUUUUAUUUUCUCUUCAUGGAUCACUUUCAAUCAUCAUCCAACUUUAAUUCAUCCAACAUGGUAUCAUUUAGGGGUGAGAUUCCCCGUACCCGUACGGAGACGAGGAUGAUUUUCCUACCCGAAACUGAAAAUUCUCCGUCCCCUACCGAAAUUCUCGGUCAUUUCCGGGUACGGAGAUGGGGAUCAAAAUCCGAAGGGUAAGGGUAUUUGUCAAUAUUUAUUACAUAUUUUUUUUCAACAACAAAAAUCCGAAGGGAUAUUUUUUUCAAUUUUAUCAGAAAAUAUGUGUUGAUCACAAGUUCAUUACAAGUGAAAAAUAACUAGGACAAAGGUAUUUGUCAACAUUAAUUACAUAUUUUUUUCUCAACGAAAAAAGUCAUAAGAGAUAUUUUUAUUUUAUCAGAAAAUAGUAUAUGAUUAAAUUAUAAUUUAUUUUGCUUUAAAGAUAAUAAAAUUCAACUUAUAAAUGUAUGGAAUAUUAUGUAUAAUAAACAUAAUAAACGGACUUUUUCAUGGGUCUGGGCCAGGUCCGGGUCCAGACGAUUGAGUACUGGACCCGGACCCGGCCCAGACCCGGAUGAAGUUCAUGGGUCCGGCUCAGCCGUUCGAGACCUAGCCCAUUUACAGCCUUAAUUAAAAUAUGUAUUUAAAAUACAAUCAAAUUGUAUUACGUAUUUUGUGAUGUUAAAUUUAAAUAAUUUUGGUACGUCAAUCACAAAUUAUUAAUCGUACAUUUUCUUUUUAAUACUAUCCUUAGAUUGUCCACAUAUUUUAUGGUAUUAAAAGAAAAUGAUUUAAACACGAAAAUAUGUGUCUAUCGUAAAUUUAAGAUUAAUUAAAAAACAACUAAACAUAGGUAUUUUUAAACAUUAUUUUUUUUUUCCUCAACAAAAAAAAGUCAGAAGAGUUUUUUUUUUAUUUAUACGAAAAUAUGUGUUGAUCACAAAUUUAUUAUAAGUGAAAAACAACUAGGGCAAUGGUAUUUGUCAAUAUUAAUUGCAUAUAUUUUGUCAACGAAAAAUGUCAGAAGAGAUAUUUUUUUUGAUUUUAUCAGAAAAUAUUUGUUCAUUACAAAUAUAUUAUAAGUGAAAAACAACUAGGGCAAGGGUAUUCGAUAACAUAAAUACAUAUUUUUUCUCAACGAAAAAAGUCAGAAGAGAUUUUUUUUUAAUUUUUUCAGAAAAUAUGUGUUGAUCACAAAUUAGAAUAUGUAUUUAAAAUACAAUCAAAUUAUGCUACGUAUUUUGUGAUGUUAAAUUUAAAUAAUUUGGAUACGUCAAUAACAAAUUAUUAAUCGUACAUUUUCUUUUUAAUACUAUCCUUAGAUUGUCCACAUAUUUUAUGGUAUUAAAAGAAAAUUAUUUAAGCACGAAAAUAUGUGUCUAUCGUAAAUUCAAGAUUAAUUAAAAAACAACUAAACAAAGGUAUUUUUAAACAUUAAAUUUUUUUUUUCUCUCAAUAAGAAAAGUCAGAAGAGAUUUUUUUUUUGAUUUAUACGAAAAUAUGUGUUGAUCACAAAUUCAUUAUAAGUGAAAAAUAACUAGGGCAAUGGUAUUUGUCAAUAUUAAUUGCAUAUUUUUUGUCAACGAAAAAUGUCAGAAAAUAUAUUUUUUUUGAUUUUAUCAGAAAAUAUUUGUUCAUUACAAAUAUAUUAUAAGUGAAAAACAACUAGGGCAAGGGUAUUCGUUAACAUAAAUACAUAUAUUUUUCUCAACGACAAAAGUCAGAAGUGAUUUUUUUUUUUUCCAGAAAAUAUGUGUUGAUCAUAAAUUAUUAUAAAUGAAAAACAACUAGAGCAAGGGUAUUUGUCAACAUUAAUUACAUAUUAUUCUCAAUGAGAGAAGUCAGAAUUAAAAGAUUUUUUUUUUGAUUUUAUCCAAAAUAUGUGAUGAUCAAAUAUUCAUUGUUAUUGAAAAGCAACUAAGGUAAGGGUAUUUGUCAAUAUUUAUUACAUAUUUUUUCUCAACGAGAAAAAUCAGAAUUAAGAUAUUAUUUUUUUUGAUUUUAUCAAAAAUAUGCGUUGAUCGCAUAUUCAUUAUAAGUAAAAACAAACUAGGGCAAUGGUAUUUGUCAACAUUUAGUACAUAUUUUUUUUCAACAAAAAAGUCAGAAGAGAUAUUUUUCGAUUUUAUCAGAAAAUAUAUGUUCAUCACAAGUUCAUUACAAGUGAAAAAUAACUUAGACAAGAGUAUGUCUCAACAUUAAUUACAUAUUUUUUCUCAACGAGAAAAGUCAGAAGAGAUAUUUUUAUUUUAUCAGAAAAUAGUAUAUGAUUAAAUUAUAAUUUAUUUUGCUUUAAAGAUAAUAAAAUUCAACUUACAAAUGUAUGAAAUAUUAUGUAUAAUAAACAUAAUUAGAAUAUAUAUUUAAAAUACAAUCAAAUUGUGUUACGUAUUUUGUGAUGUUAAAUUUAAAUAAUUUGGAUACGUCAAUCACAAAUUAUUAAUCGUACAUUUCCUUUUUAACACGAUCCUUAGAUAUAUUUGAAUUUUAUAAAAGCUUUAAUAUACAAUGAACAUGGGCCUAUAUUUUAUACUCAACUUAUUAAAUUCACAUUGUAGAAAUGUUGUAUAAAUAUGCGUGUGUAUGAUAAGUUUAAACACAUCACAAUUUCCCAAAGUUUGAUACUAAAUUCUUGCCAUUAAUUCACCAUGCCAUAUCUUAUCUUCCUUGCGAUCUUCCUCCUCGCAUCCAUAACAACAUCAUCCGGACAAGUCUGUAGUGCAGUCAAUAGCAACUUCCCUAAUGGUGCCCGGGUCAGUAACGUUGGUAUGGUGAAGUUCUUCAUCGAUCCGACUAGUCCUCCUGAUAUUCCAUUUUACAUCCGCAAAAGAAUAUUUACAAAGGCUUUCAAUGAAUGGGAACGUGUGACGUGUAUAAAUUUUGCAAUUGUAAGUUCCUAAGUUAGUGUACAUAUAUUUAUUUAUAACUUAACAUAAUUAUCAUCAACAAUAUAAUACUCAUCUAAUCGAUAUUUUAUUCACAGACAUCGGUGAAGAGUAGGGCCGACAUAGUUCUUCAAUUCUCGCCAGUAGCUGGCAAUAACCGUGUAGCUACGGCCACGGCUCCUCCAACUCAAGUAACGCUCACUUUUGAUUCAGGAGAGAUUUGGUCAGAAACCCC
This 8668-nucleotide long non-coding RNA is filed under the name Zostera marina. Its description in RNAcentral is "long non-coding RNA (ZMAR_LNC000816)". The record is from RNAcentral. Lineage: Eukaryota; Viridiplantae; Streptophyta; Magnoliopsida; Alismatales; Zosteraceae.